AGUGAAGUAUGAGUUAGUGGCGGACGGGUGAGUAACGCGUGGAAAACCUGCCGUAUACUGGGGGAUAACACUUAGAAAUAGGUGCUAAUACCGCAUAAGCGCACAGCUUCGCAUGAAGCAGUGUGAAAAACUGAGGUGGUAUACGAUGGUUCCGCGUCUGAUUAGCUAGUUGGUGGAGUAAAAGCCUACCAAGGCAACGAUCAGUAGCCGGCCUGAGAGGGUGAACGGCCACAUUGGGACUGAGACACGGCCCAAACUCCUACGGGAGGCAGCAGUGGGGAAUAUUGCACAAUGGGGGAAACCCUGAUGCAGCGACGCCGCGUGAGUGAAGAAGUAUUUCGGUAUGUAAAGCUCUAUCAGCAGGGAAGAAAUACUGACCAUAGGGUCAGCAGACGGUACUUGACUAAGAAGCCCCGGCUAACUACGUGCCAGCAGCCGCGGUAAUACGUAGGGGGCAAGCGUUAUCCGGAUUUACUGGGUGUAAAGGGAGCGUAGACGGCAGCGCAAGUCUGAAGUGAAAUGCCAGGGCUUAACCCUGGAACUGCUUUGGAAACUGUGCAGCUAGAGUGCAGGAGAGGUAAGUGGAAUUUCUAGUGUAGCGGUGAAAUGCGUAGAUAUUAGGAGGAACACCAGUGGCGAAGGCGGCUUACUGGACUGUAACUGACGUUGAGGCUCGAAAGCGUGGGGAGCAAACAGGAUUAGAUACCCUGGUAGUCCACGCUGUAAACGAUGAUUACUAGGUGUUGGGGGACCAAGGUUCUUCGGUGCCGUCGCAAACGCAAUAGUAAUCCACCUGGGGAGUACGUUCGCAAGAAUGAAACUCAAAGGAAUUGACGGGGACCCGCACAAGCGGUGGAGCAUGUGGUUUAAAUUCGAAGCACGCGAAGAACCUUACCUGGU
RNAcentral lists this ribosomal RNA (900 nucleotides) under uncultured bacterium. Its description in RNAcentral is "bacterial SSU rRNA". It matches the Rfam family "Bacterial small subunit ribosomal RNA", at positions 79 to 979 of the family's 1533-position model. The record is from RNAcentral.